RNAcentral lists this long non-coding RNA (232 nucleotides) under Carica papaya (papaya). RNAcentral describes it as "long non-coding RNA (CPAP_LNC009259)". The record is from RNAcentral. Lineage: Eukaryota; Viridiplantae; Streptophyta; Magnoliopsida; Brassicales; Caricaceae.
AACAUCCAUGAAAACUUCCCAAGUAGUAGGGGUAGGCAGGACUUCUUUCUUAAGUUGUCACCAGUGUUUGGCAUCACCGUUUAACAUAAAGGCUGUAAGAAGGACUUUUUGUUCUUCGGUUAGGUCUAGUACAGAAAAGAGCUUUUCUAUUUGUAGGAUUCAGGCUUCGGCUACUAAAGAAUCAUGGCCACCUUCAAAGUGUGGGGAUUACAUUUCUUAAACUCUGCUAUAU